RNAcentral lists this long non-coding RNA (1195 nucleotides) under Canis lupus familiaris (dog). RNAcentral describes it as "lncRNA (ENSCAFG00040022332.1)". Lineage: Eukaryota; Metazoa; Chordata; Mammalia; Carnivora; Canidae. The record is from RNAcentral.
AUGCCCGCGGCCCUGGGCACAGGCGGAUCCGGGUUCCCUGGUGAAGCCUGAGUCACACACCGUGGCCCCGUGGGGUUCACGGGCCUGUGAGCCAUGGACUUGGCACCAGGUCAGCCAGAGUCACGUCUAUUCAGAGACAAGGAAAAUAUCGUGUCUGUUCCCCCUCCUCCCUGGGAAAACAAAGGCCUGGUUCAUCUGCACCUCUGGGAACAUGCUCUGGGUUCGAGGGACCAGGCCCUUGGGUGACAGAGGGGAACCAUGACUCAGCCACCGUCAGCCACCCAGCUUGCUGAUGCUGACCCCUGUCUUCGCAGCCGUCACUCAUGUCUCGGCCAAGGAUGGGCUGGGGGCCUGGGAGGCACCUGCUGGACCAAGGGUCUCCAGGUCCCCACUCUCAAGGACCCCCCAUCACGCUGCCUGGGCUUGGCCCCAAGGCCUGGGCUCUUGCCCCUCUUGGAAUUUUGGGGCACUCUGGGCAGAAGCUAGGUUUCCAAGAUACCAGGAAUGCCUCCACGCACCCUCCCUGGGGCUGGGCUGCCCAGGGCCAUGUGGGAGGGCCAGCCAUGGUGCAGGAGGACAAGUAUCAGGCUGGGGAUGGCCCCGUCCUCAGCUGUCCUGUGCCCCUCCAACUUGAGAGCCUCAGGGACUCUGUGCAGCCACCUGCCCCAUGGGGAUGUUCUCGUGUGGGCACUACUGUCCUCGUCUCUCACACAUACACACACACACACGGGGCAGCCCUGCCCUGGACAUCACGGCUCAAGGGAGAAGAUGAGACAGUGGUCACACAGGUGGUGACCAGAACGGUCAGCACAGAGUCUCCAAUCACCACCGCCCCAUGCUUCCCCCAUGCAGGGCACUGGACGGCAGGACACUGGGCUCAGGGUGCUUGUCUGGCUGCCCCUGGGCGCCCCCAACAGCUGCCCAGCCUGGCCCACCAGGAGCGGGGAUCAGCCCCUUGCAGUUUAGUGACCUCUGGGUGGGCGCUUAAGGCAGAAUGUCCUUCAGGGCACUCAUGGGGCAAGAGGGAGGCCUCAGCCCACCUGCAGGCCAUGAACUCCCCAACCAGAGCUCCCAUGCACGACCCACAGGUGGGGCCCCGGGGGGAAGGGCCCUCGCUGGCCCUGUCCAUCUGGAAGCCUGGUGGUUGUCAGAGCAAGGUUUGGGGUUUGCAUAAGCAGUGAGGGGAAGUGUGGUC